ACGCGGUGACGGAGAUCGUCCCGCGCCGUCCUCCCGAGGCAGUGCCGUACUCCUCGUGAGCACGGACCAGCGGCGGUUGGACCGGAGCCACAAGGCGGCGGAGGAAGGUGAGUCGACACGGGCCCGUCCCGUGUCGACAGCUUACAGCCCCGUCGUACGGCGCUCCGGCCCGACCGAGGAAGAUGGGCAGCCCUUGCCCACCGUGGCACACGCCGAACGGCGGGGCCUCCCGACACGAGUGAACGGUGCGGUGUGGACUGCACGCAGUGCAAACCGUGGCCGUGAUCUCGCGGCGGYGAGCGUCACCCGUGUGCCAGUGCCGCCGGCAUUCAGAC
Molecule: unclassified non-coding RNA, 335 nt
Filed under: Rhopaloeides odorabile
Lineage: Eukaryota; Metazoa; Porifera; Demospongiae; Dictyoceratida; Spongiidae
Description: sequence contains 28S rRNA gene
Source: RNAcentral